Molecule: unclassified non-coding RNA, 344 nt
Filed under: soil metagenome
Description: partial contains 5.8S ribosomal RNA, internal transcribed spacer 2, and large subunit ribosomal RNA
Rfam family: 5.8S ribosomal RNA (bases 1-119)
Source: RNAcentral
AUGAAGAACGUAGCGAAAUGCGAUACGUAAUGUGAAUUGCAGAAUUCAGUGAAUCAUCGAGUCUUUGAACGCACAUGGCGCCCCCUGGUAUUCCGGGGGGCAUGCCUGUCCGAGCGUCAUUGCUGCCCUCAAGCACGGCUUGUGUGUUGGGCCUCCGUCCUCCUCCCGGGGGACGGGCCCGAAAGGCAGCGGCGGCACCGCGUCCGGUCCUCGAGCGUAUGGGGCUUCGUCACCCGCUCUUGUAGGCCCGGCCGGCGCUUGCCGACACAUCAAUCUUUUUUCCAGGUUGACCUCGGAUCAGGUAGGGAUACCCGCUGAACUUAAGCAUAUCAAUAAGCGGAGGA